CUGAUCUGGGUGCCAGUGGGACCAGCAUGUGGCCAUUUCAGUGCGCAGGUGUUCAGAGUUUGGUGACUCUUACACCCAAGUGGAACAAAUGCUACUUACCUACGUUUCAGCUUUGCCAGAUGUUCUUGGACCUUGUUUCUUCUUGGCACCCUCUGCUACACAGAAGACGUGCACUGCCUGAGGACAGAGAUAGCCCAUGUGUUUAAAUAACCCUCUAAAUGUUAUUGAUCAAUGCAGAAUUUUCAGGUAUAGCAAAG
RNAcentral lists this long non-coding RNA (257 nucleotides) under Apteryx rowi (Okarito brown kiwi). RNAcentral describes it as "lncRNA (ENSARWG00000007124.1)". The record is from RNAcentral. Lineage: Eukaryota; Metazoa; Chordata; Aves; Apterygiformes; Apterygidae.